Pelodiscus sinensis (Chinese soft-shelled turtle) is the source of this 514-nucleotide non-coding RNA. Lineage: Eukaryota; Metazoa; Chordata; Testudines; Trionychidae. The record is from RefSeq and is a predicted model, not a curated record.
GUUUUUUUAAACAAGGUAAGAGUGAUAUCUUUACAUUGCAGGUUGAAUGAGAAGCUCCUGCUUGACAAAGUGAGGAAUGUCUUGCGUAUCCUCGUCAGAAACCUUUUAUUAACUGAAUAGUUUCAUCAUACCAGGAGAUCAACAAAUCUGUAAAGAAAAUGGAUACACGGUACACCUGAAUAUCUGAAUUUCCAGGAUGAAUCCUCUACCUCAGGAAAAAGCUAUUUUAGAACUCAAAGGUGCAAGUCUAUCCAUCGUAGAAGAACGACCCUUUGAAAUUAUCCUCUGUGGAAGAUGCAAACAAAUCUACAAUUAAAUUAUCAGAUAAGGCGUAUAAAGGGUAAUAGUGUAACUUUAAAUCUUUCAAUCAAACAAGUGUUAGAAAAGAACAUCCAUAAAUGUUAAUACUGUAGCAAAGUAUUGUUGAUGGAUGUAAAUGUUAAAAUAUUUCUACUUCUCUUUGAGAAGGACAUGUACAUUGUCAUGAGUUUUUAAUAAAAUCUUGGUUCAGUGC